AUUGAACGCUGGCGGCAGGCCUAACACAUGCAAGUCGAGCCGAUGAAGGGAGCUUGCUCCUGGAUUCAGCGGCGGACGGGUGAGUAAUGCCUAGGAAUCUGCCUGGUAGUGGGGGAUAACGUCCGGAAACGGGCGCUAAUACCGCAUACGUCCUGAGGGAGAAAGUGGGGGAUCUUCGGACCUCACGCUAUCAGAUGAGCCUAGGUCGGAUUAGCUAGUUGGUGGGGUAAAGGCCUACCAAGGCGACGAUCCGUAACUGGUCUGAGAGGAUGAUCAGUCACACUGGAACUGAGACACGGUCCAGACUCCUACGGGAGGCAGCAGUGGGGAAUAUUGGACAAUGGGCGAAAGCCUGAUCCAGCCAUGCCGCGUGUGUGAAGAAGGUCUUCGGAUUGUAAAGCACUUUAAGUUGGGAGGAAGGGCAGUAAGUUAAUACCUCGCUGUUUUGACGUUACCAACAGAAUAAGCACCGGCUAACUUCGUG
RNAcentral lists this ribosomal RNA (484 nucleotides) under uncultured bacterium. RNAcentral's name for it is "partial 16S ribosomal RNA". It matches the Rfam family "Bacterial small subunit ribosomal RNA", at positions 30 to 507 of the family's 1533-position model. The record is from RNAcentral.